This 303-nucleotide long non-coding RNA is filed under the name Elaeis guineensis (African oil palm). RNAcentral's name for it is "long non-coding RNA (EGUI_LNC065038)". Lineage: Eukaryota; Viridiplantae; Streptophyta; Magnoliopsida; Arecales; Arecaceae. The record is from RNAcentral.
GCCAUAGGACAAAAUCAUUGAAGGAGAAGAACCAGAAUCUUUUGGAUCUUCAGUGAAAAAUUAAUGAAUAAGAGAUGAAGAUUUUUGACCAGCAUAUCUAGGCCGAGAAGAACAAGGAGCCAGAGCCAAGGCUUCAAGAGGCAACUAAGGCCUAUGAAAUUCAUGAGAAGGCCAUAGAGGCCUUAAAGAAACAGGUUAAAUAAGAGCAGGAGAAGAUGGCAAAGGUGGUGGAAUUGUACCGAGCCUGUGAAGAGUUUGAAGAGGAGGUUAGUGAGAGCUUCGAGUGGGCAUAUAACUAUGGGU